AGAGCAAUUAUCUGGACACCAAACCUUAGUGACUGCUGGAACUGUGAAGUGGAUGAUCCCCCUCCCAAACCUCAGGGGAGGCAGCACAGGGAGAAGCUGCUCUGGGCACUGAACAGGAGCAGCUCACUCACCCCUGUGGCAGCUGUUUCUACCUGGACUGGUGGGAUUCCUGUGGAGCAAAAAGCUGCAGGAUGGGAGUGCAGUCAGCUUGGCUUGUUGUGUUCACUGGAUUUCUGUCUAUGGCUUCUGUUCAUCUCUCCACUGAAAGCAUCAUCAAAAGGCUCAGCAGAGAGGGGAGAGCCACAGAGAGCUUAUCUGGGCUCCCAGAGGCUUGUCCUGGCCCUGACCCACACAGGCCACAGGGGAUGUAGAGAGCCCUGCUUGCACACAAGGACAGUUCAAUUCUGUGUGGAAUUAAAUUCUGUGUGCUGCUGUGAGUGCUCACUAUGUGGCACAUGCUCCAGUGCACCCUAAGUAAAUAGAUUUUUAAGUAUACAGCUCAGUAAUAAUAAACAGGUUAAUUACAACAUAACACGUCCUUUUUAGUGCAGUUGUUUCUCCUUUCAAAUCCAGCAGCAAAGCCCUGCUAUAGCAUCCAUGUUUUCUUUGUCAAUUUGACUGUUACAGCAAU
Molecule: long non-coding RNA, 631 nt
Organism: Agelaius phoeniceus (red-winged blackbird)
Lineage: Eukaryota; Metazoa; Chordata; Aves; Passeriformes; Icteridae
Source: RefSeq, a predicted model, not a curated record